ACGAACGCUGGCGGCGUGCUUCACACCUGCAAGUCGAACGGUGAAGCGCCUUCCUUUUUGGUGGGUGUGGAUGAGUGGCGAACGGGUGAGUAACACGUGAGCAACCUGCCCCCUUCUUCUGGAUAACCGCAUGAAAGUGUGGCUAAUACGGGAUAUUCUGGGUCUGUCGCAUGAUGGGUCUGGGAAAGAUAUUGUUUCGGUGGGGGAUGGGCUCGCGGCCUAUCAGCUUGUUGGUGGGGUGAUGGCCUACCAAGGCGGUGACGGGUAGCCGGCCUGAGAGGGUGGACGGUCACACUGGGACUGAGACACGGCCCAGACUCCUACGGGAGGCAGCAGUGGGGAAUAUUGCACAAUGGGCGCAAGCCUGAUGCAGCGACGCCGCGUGAGGGAUGGAGGCCUUCGGGUUGUGAACCUCUUUCGCCAGUGAAGCAGGCCUGCCUCGUUUGUGGGUGGGUUGACGGUAGCUGGAGAAGAAGCGCCGGCUAACUACGUG
Molecule: ribosomal RNA, 493 nt
Filed under: uncultured bacterium
Lineage: Bacteria
Description: partial 16S ribosomal RNA
Rfam family: Bacterial small subunit ribosomal RNA
Source: RNAcentral